UAGAGUUUGAUCAUGGCUCAGGAUGAACGCUAGCGGGAGGCCUAAUACAUGCAAGUCGAGGGGUAACAGGGUCUUCGGACCGCUGACGACCGGCGCACGGGUGAGUAACACGUACACAACCUACCUUUAAGAGGGGGAUAGCCUUUGGAAACGAAGAUUAAUACCCCAUGGUAUUAUGAUCCUGCAUGGGAUUAUAAUUAAAGCUGAGGCGCUUAAAGAUGGGUGUGCGUCCCAUUAGCUAGUUGGUGAGGUAACGGCUCACCAAGGCGAUGAUGGGUAGGGGGCGUGAGAGCGUGGCCCCCCACACGGGUACUGAGACACGGACCCGACUCCUACGGGAGGCAGCAGUAAGGAAUAUUGGACAAUGGGCGCAAGCCUGAUCCAGCCAUCCCGCGUGCAGGAUGACUGCCCUAUGGGUUGUAAACUGCUUUUAUUAGGGAAGAAACCCCUGGAUUUAUCCGGGGCUGCCGGUACCUAAUGAAUAAGCACCGGCUAACUCCGUGCCAGCAGCCGCGGUAAUACGGAGGGUGCAAGCGUUAUCCGGAAUCACUGGGUUUAAAGGGUGCGUAGGCGGCGUCAUAAGUCAGGGGUGAAAGCCCACAGCUCAACUGUGGAAUUGCCUUUGAUACUGUGGUGCUUGAAUCAGUUGAGGUAGCGGAAUGUGGCAUGUACGGUGAAAUGCUUAAUAUGCAUAAACACCGAUUGC
RNAcentral lists this ribosomal RNA (706 nucleotides) under uncultured Bacteroidota bacterium. RNAcentral describes it as "bacterial SSU rRNA". It matches the Rfam family "Bacterial small subunit ribosomal RNA", at positions 1 to 716 of the family's 1533-position model. The record is from RNAcentral. Lineage: Bacteria; Pseudomonadati; Bacteroidota.